AUUUGAUGCUGUAGACAUUUAAUGAUAAGCUUAUUAAAUCGCUUUCAAUAUUCAUAGAGUGUUUCACCUGAUUUUUGUUUGAUGCCACAUAUCGCAUUCCUCAGAAU
Andrographis paniculata is the source of this 107-nucleotide small nucleolar RNA. The record is from RefSeq and is a predicted model, not a curated record. Lineage: Eukaryota; Viridiplantae; Streptophyta; Magnoliopsida; Lamiales; Acanthaceae.